CCUUUAAAAAAGCGUCAAAGCUUAUUUAUUUUACCAAAUGAAUCUCAAAAACAAACUAAAACCCUACACCAAUACUAAGUAAUUCCAUAAAUCUAUGGAAAGUAUUAUGUUAAAACUAGUAACAUGAAGAUGAACCUUCUCUAAAAUGUAUGUGUAGGUCAAGAUGGACUGCACACUGACAAUUAACAAUCUAAACUAAAGUAGCAAAAUACCCAAGAAAAUCCUACUAACCAACUUGUUAAUCUAACACAAGAACAUUUAAAGAAAGACUUAAAAAGAAAGAAGGAACUCGGCAAAAUCGAUUUCGCCUGUUUACCAAAAACAUCGCCUCCUGAAUUGUACCUAUAGGAGGUCUAGCCUGCCCAGUGACUCUGUUUAACGGCCGCGGUAACCUAACCGUGCGAAGGUAGCGUAAUCACCUGUUUUUUAAUUAAAGACCUGUAUGAAAGGCAUCACGAGAAUCACACUGUCUCCUUUCUCAAGUCAGUGAAACUAAUCUCCUCGUGAAAAAGCGAGGAUAACACUACAAGACGAGAAGACCCUUUGGAGCUUAAGACAAAAUAAAUACUUAUUCCAUUGUUUUCUAUAUCACACAACAUACUAUUUAUAAGUCUUGGGUUGGGGCAACCACGGAGUACAAACAAACCUCCGAGCUGAACGGAAACUUCCUAAACAAAAAGCAACAGCUUUAUGUAUCAAUAAACUGACACAAUUUGACCCAAUAUAUUUGACUAACGAACCAAGUUACCCAAGGGAUAACAGCGCAAUCCACUUAAAGAGUUCAUAUCGAAAAGUGGGCUUACGACCUCGAUGUUGGAUCAAGGUAUCCCGGUGGUGCAGCAGCUACCAAAGGUUCGUUUGUUCAACGAUUAAAACCUCACGCG
Molecule: ribosomal RNA, 884 nt
Filed under: Eleutherodactylus rogersi
Lineage: Eukaryota; Metazoa; Chordata; Amphibia; Anura; Eleutherodactylidae
Description: partial 16S ribosomal RNA
Rfam family: Bacterial large subunit ribosomal RNA
Source: RNAcentral